UCUCUCAAGAGAUCGGCUCCUCUUAAAAGCAUUAGUGGGAACCGUUUGUAGGGGUUCAAUAUUAUUCACUUGACGUGAUAGUUUAUCGUCGUCAUCCAGUUGAAUAGGAACUCUGAGGCUCUUGCUUUCUAACCGUCCGCAAGGACAGCUUCAUAUUUUAAUGUGACCUCAAAUCAGGUAGGACUACCCGCUGAACUUAA
This 200-nucleotide unclassified non-coding RNA is filed under the name soil metagenome. RNAcentral describes it as "partial contains internal transcribed spacer 2 and large subunit ribosomal RNA". The record is from RNAcentral.